Pan paniscus (pygmy chimpanzee) is the source of this 107-nucleotide small nuclear RNA. The record is from Ensembl. Lineage: Eukaryota; Metazoa; Chordata; Mammalia; Primates; Hominidae.
GUGCUCACUUCGGUAAGACAUAUAUUAAAAUUGGAACAAUACAGAGAAGAUUAGCAUGGCCUCUGCACAAGGAUGACACACGAAUUCGUGAAGCAUUCCAUAUUUUU